Molecule: long non-coding RNA, 271 nt
Filed under: Capra hircus (goat)
Lineage: Eukaryota; Metazoa; Chordata; Mammalia; Artiodactyla; Bovidae
Description: lncRNA (ENSCHIG00000004771.1)
Source: RNAcentral
UGUGAAUGCGAGGAGACCAGCCACUGAUGCCGACUCUUCUAGGAGGAUGCAAAGCGCACACAUACAAACCUUUUCCAAAAGGAGAGAAAAAUUCAGGGCUCUAAUGAGCAAUGGAUGAGAAAAAACAGAUGCAAAACGUCUGGUGCACACGAGAGAUGGUCCAUAACAAGCAGUAUCACCAUGGAGCUAUACUUUCGGACAAGAGAAACUCCUGUCUUUACUGGGAAUGCUACAACUGCUGUGUCAUAAAUCAGAAAGCUCUAAUGGGUUG